RNAcentral lists this long non-coding RNA (1832 nucleotides) under Canis lupus familiaris (dog). Its description in RNAcentral is "lncRNA (ENSCAFG00000055111.1, ENSCAFG00805012528.1)". The record is from RNAcentral. Lineage: Eukaryota; Metazoa; Chordata; Mammalia; Carnivora; Canidae.
CUGAAUUCUAAUGCAAAGUGGAGAAAGCUAUUGCCUAUAGGUAGUUUUAAAUAUGUGAUAAUGUGAGAAUUGCCAGUCACAGAGCCUUGAACAGAGAAGCUUCUCAUUCAGUAGACACAUAUCAUCAUCACAUUUAUUCCAUGUCAAAUGUUUAUAGGUGAGAAAGUUAAUUUUGGAUGUCUUCCUAGUCUAUUGAUAGUAUAAAGAACAUUGGAGGAUUGAAACUAUUAUUUUUCUUUUUAUUUCUCACCAUGAGUUUGAUAACGGAUGCUCAAUAAAUAUUUAACCAAGGACUUGAAGAUGAGUGUUUCUGUGUUGUCACAUACUAAUCACAUGAGGACCCAUAACAUUGCUCUGGAACAGUGAUUCUUAACCUUUCUGAUUUUAUAUUCCUCUCAUUACUACAUCAAAGAACGAGGAUCUCAACAUGAUAGAAAGAAAAGGACACUUUAUUCUGAGAAAUAUAUAGAGAUGUUUAUAGACCUUGUGUUGUUUCAUUUAUCAUUGAUGGUAAAUUUUAAGGACAGGAUUACUGCUUUUGUAUUGAUGGGAACCAGUUUUACAGCUCUGGCUUUAAAAUAAAGUGAUUCUGUUCAGUUUUGAAAUGUAUAUAGUUUCAUAAUGAUAUAGAUGAGAAAGAAAGAUAUUGCCAUGGUAACUGUGGAACCCAAAGAUAAUAAUAAUUUUUAAAUUGAAGUCAUAUUAUUGUCAGGUGAGGUUGGCAGGAGAAAUCUACCAUACUGGAUAAAGGAUAUAACAAGUGAAGGAUGGUGGAUUGUUAAGAAUUCUUUUGAAAAACUUCAGCCCAUUAAGACAUUUUCUUGUUCCUUCAGGGUGAGGCUUGUAGUUGGUUAAUCACAACUCUGUAGAGAAGCUGAGAGAAAAAAAAUUCCAUAUUCCUUCCUAGAUUUGAAAUUCAUGUGAUGGCUCCAUAUAAGUACUUAGUGUGAAUGGAAUUUUGAACUUGGAGUAAAGAAUACUCCCUUUUAAAUGUAUGAAAAAAAUGAUUGUUACAGUUAAUUUUUUUUCAGAUGUGAUUUAAUCAGUAUUUGAAGUACCACCAUAUUCCAAAAGCAGUGUUGAGUAAUUAGGGUAUCAAGUGAAUGAGAUUAUUUAUAUAUUUGAGAUUCUAAUGUACUAGUGGAACAAACAAGUAGGUGCAUUUAAUACAAUGCUACCAGCUAUAGAGAUGGAGACAAAGUAUUAUUAGCAAAAGAACAAACACUAAGUUCAAAUCAGGUAUUCAAAGGUUAAUGUGUGAAGUGAGUCCCAAAGAUUGAAGAUAUCUUCCUCCAAAAAUUAAGAUGGGAAGGAAAUUCAGAGAAGGAAAUUCCAGGAAGACAUAUAGAACAAAACCCACUGAUGUUUCUUAUGUAUUGCUUCACCUUUCCUUGAAUUUGCACAUUGUUUUUCUUUGUUUGUAAAUACCUUUGUUGCCUCUUCUCUACCUGUUAAAAAUCAUUAUUCUUCAAAAAUCAACUCAGAUCUCUUCUAUUUGUGAAAGUUUCUCUAUCUUUCAUAAAACACUGAAUCAACCUUCCCUUUGUUCAACAAAUGUUAUGCUUCUGUUAUAACUCGACAUCACUCUGUUUGGCAAAUAUUUUUUCACUUGCUUUUUUUUUUUUCUCCUUAAAUUAGAGGCAUCCUGGGAUCCCUGGGUGGCGCAGCGGUUUGGCGCCUGCCUUUGGCCCAGGGCGCGAUCCUGGAGACCGGGAUCGAAUCCCACGUCAGGCUCCCAGUGCAUGGAGCCUGCUUCUCCCUCUGCCUAUGUCUCUGCCUCUCUCUUUCUCUCUCUGUGACUAUCAUAAAUAAAUAAAAAUUAAAAAAAAAAA